RNAcentral lists this ribosomal RNA (499 nucleotides) under uncultured bacterium. Its description in RNAcentral is "partial 16S ribosomal RNA". It matches the Rfam family "Bacterial small subunit ribosomal RNA", at positions 28 to 507 of the family's 1533-position model. The record is from RNAcentral.
GAUGAACGCUGGCGGCGUGCCUAAUACAUGCAAGUCGAGCGAACAGACGAGAGUGCUUGCACUCUCUGACGUUAGCGGCGGACGGGUGAGUAACACGUGGGUAACCUACCUAUAAGACUGGGAUAACUUCGGGAAACCGGAGCUAAUACCGGAUAAUAUUUAGCUUCGCAUGAAGCAAUAGUGAAAGACGGUUCUGCUGUCACUUAUAGAUGGACCCGCGGUGUAUUAGCUAGUUGGUGAGGUAACGGCUCACCAAGGCAACGAUACAUAGCCGACCUGAGAGGGGGAACAGAGAGAGUGGGAGGUAGGAAAGCUCCAGAAACGGAGGAGAGGCAGAAGUGGGGAAUAGGGGGGAGUGGGGGGAUGCCUGAUACAGUAAAACCGGGUGGGGGAAGAAGAACUGCGGGUUGUAAAACUGCUGUAUUGGUGAAGAAAAGUAACCAGAGAGCACCAGGCAGCAGGGAAGGGAAUGGCAGAAUAAGACCCGGCGAACGUCGUG